This 520-nucleotide ribosomal RNA is filed under the name uncultured Glomeromycotina. Its description in RNAcentral is "SSU rRNA". It matches the Rfam family "Eukaryotic small subunit ribosomal RNA", at positions 569 to 1090 of the family's 1831-position model. Lineage: Eukaryota; Fungi; Glomeromycota. The record is from RNAcentral.
AGCAGCCGCGGUAAUUCCAGCUCCAAUAGCGUAUAUUAAAGUUGUUGCAGUUAAAAAGCUCGUAGUUGAAUUUCGGGGUUAGUAGAUUGGUCAUGCCUCUGGUAUGCACUGGUCUUACUGAUUCCUCCUUCCUGAUGAACCGUAAUGCCAUUAAUUUGGUGUUGCGGGGAAACUGGACUGUUACUUUGAAAAAUUAGAGUGUUUAAAGCAGGCUAACGCUUGAAUACAUUAGCAUGGAAUAAUGAAAUAGGACGUUCGAUCUUAUUUUGUUGGUUUCUAGGAUUGACGUAAUGAUUAAUAGGGAUAGUUGGGGGCAUUAGUAUUCAAUUGUCAGAGGUGAAAUUCUUGGAUUUAUUGAAGACUAACUACUGCGAAAGCAUUUGCCAAGGAUGUUUUCAUUAAUCAAGAACGAAAGUUAGGGGGAUCGAAGACGAUCAGAUACCGUCGUAGUCUUAACCAUAAACUAUGCCGACUAGGGAUCGGGUGAUGUUAAUUUUUUAAUGACUCAUUCGGCGCCUUA